Long non-coding RNA from Heterocephalus glaber (naked mole-rat), 456 nucleotides. NCBI's taxonomy places the organism in Eukaryota, Metazoa, Chordata, Mammalia, Rodentia, Bathyergidae. The record is from Ensembl.
GCCACGGAGAGCAGUCACUGGCGAAGGAUCGCCAGCCACUUACCAGUGCGAGGCCAGGCUCCCCCGUCCUUGCUCCGCAGCUGCCGGCUGCCGGCUCCCUUGCUCCCGCCAGUCCGCACAGUUCAGCCUGAGCAGUUCCCAGGGUCCUUUCCAGCCUGUGGCAGGAGGGGACUGCGGAGUUUUUAAUCAUUCAGAGGGACUCCUCCAGCUUGCCCUGCCUCUCCCAGAAGAGGGGGCCCAGGAAAAUACUACACGUCCAUUAAUCCAUCUCAGAAUAUUCAACCUUGUUUUGGAGACACUUAUCCCACUCUUUUUGCCACUUUCUGAAGCAGACAUGAAUUUUAAUUAACCCAACAGAAGCUGACAAUAAGAUUAUUAGUAUGAAAUGGUCAAAAACUUAAAACUUUCACACUAGAAUCAGGAACAAGACAAGGAUGCCGACUAUCACCACUCCUG